RNAcentral lists this ribosomal RNA (747 nucleotides) under uncultured Bacillota bacterium. RNAcentral's name for it is "bacterial SSU rRNA". It matches the Rfam family "Bacterial small subunit ribosomal RNA", at positions 28 to 755 of the family's 1533-position model. Lineage: Bacteria; Bacillati; Bacillota. The record is from RNAcentral.
GACGAACGCUGGCGGCGUGCCUAAUACAUGCAAGUCGAGCGGAGCUGCGCAGUUCCUUCGGGAAUGGCGCAGCUUAGCGGCGAACGGGUGAGUAACACGUAGGCAACCUGCCCGCAAGACCGGGAUAACUCGCGGAAACGUGAGCUAAUACCGGAUAAUCGGUUUCUCCGCAUGGAGGGAUCGUGAAAGGCGCUUUGGCGUCACUUGCGGAUGGGCCUGCGGCGCAUUAGCUAGUUGGCGGGGUAACGGCCCACCAAGGCGACGAUGCGUAGCCGGCCUGAGAGGGUGAACGGCCACACUGGGACUGAGACACGGCCCAGACUCCUACGGGAGGCAGCAGUAGGGAAUCUUCGGCAAUGGACGGAAGUCUGACCGAGCAACGCCGCGUGAGUGAGGAAGGCCUUCGGGUCGUAAAGCUCUGUUGCCAGGGAAGAACGCCGAGGGGAGGGAAUGCCCCUUGGGUGACGGUACCUGAGAAGAAAGCCCCGGCUAACUACGUGCCAGCAGCCGCGGUAAUACGUAGGGGGCAAGCGUUGUCCGGAAUUAUUGGGCGUAAAGCGCGCGCAGGCGGUACAUUAAGUCUUGUGUUUAACUCCAGGGCUCGACCCUGGCACGCAUGGGAAACUGGUGUACUGGAGUGCAGGAGAGGAAAGCGGAAUUCCACGUGUAGCGGUGAAAUGCGUAGAGAUGUGGAGGAACACCAGUGGCGAAGGCGGCUUUCUGGCCUGCAACUGACGCUGAGGCGCG